GAACGCUGGCGGCGUGUCUAAGGCAUGCAAGUCGAACGAACUGCCUUUCUUCGGAAAGAACAGUUAGUGGCAGACGGGAGCGUAACACAUUGGUAACCUACCUCGAGCUCGUGAAUAACCAUUAGAAAUGAUGGCUAAUACACGAUAUGGAUGGGGGGACUUCGGUCAUUCCCAUUGAAAGUUCCGGCGGCUCGAGAGGGGCCUAUGUCCUAUCAGCUUGUUGGUGAGGUAAAAGCUCACCAAGGCUACGACGGGUACCGGGCGUGAGAGCGUGGCCCGGCUCACUGGGACUGAGACACUGCCCAGACACCUACGGGUGGCUGCAGUCAAGAAUCUUCCGCAAUGGACGAAAGUCUGACGGAGCGACGCCGCGUGCAGGAUGAAGGCCUUCGGGUCGUAAACUGCUUUUAUUAGGGACGAACAAAUGACGGUACCUAAUGAAUAAGAGGUUGCUAACUCUGUGCCAGCAGCAGCGGUAAUACAGAGACCUCAAGCGUUAUCCGGAUUUAUUGGGCGUAAAGGGUCCGCAGGCGGCCUUAUAAGUCAUAUGUCAAAUCUUCGGGCUCAACCCGAGGGCUGCGUGUGAAACUGUAAGGCUAGAGACUGGGAGAGGUACACGGAAUUGUCGGUGUAGGGGUAAAAUCCGUUAAUAUCGACAAGAACACCAAAGGCGAAGGCAGUGUACUGGAACAGUUCUGACGCUCAGGGACGAAAGCGUGGGUAGCGAAUGGGAUUAGAUACCCCAGUAGUCCACGCCCUAAACGAUGAAUGCUAGGUAUUGGGAGUAUCGACCCUCCCAGUGCCGUUGAACCAAGAUAACACGUUAAGCAUUCCGCCUGGGGAGUACGGCCGCAAGGCUAAAACUCAAAGGAAUAGACGGGGACCCGCACAAGCGGUGGAGCGUGCGGUUUAAUUCGAUGCUAAGCGAGGAACCUUACCUGGGCUUAACUUCUAGCUGCAAGCCUUUCGAAAGAAAGGAAUCCUUCGAGGGUGCUAGGAAUGGUGCUGCAUGGUUGUCGUCAGCUCGUGGCGUGAGCUGUUCCCUUAAGUGGGGUAACGAGCGCAACCCUCGUCCUGUGUUACACUUUCACAGGAGACUGCCCGGGCAACCGGGAGGAAGGUGAGGACGACGUCAAAUCAGCAUGGCCCUUACGUCCAGGGCGACACGCGCGCUACAAUGGUUGGUACAAUGGGUUGCCAAAUCGCAAGAUGGAGCUAAUCCCACAAAGCCAAUCUCAGUUCGGAUUGAAGGCUGCAACUCGUUUUCAUGAAGUUGGAAUCGCUAGUAACGGCAAAUCAGCCACGUUGCCGUGAAUACGUUCUCGGGUCUUGUACUCACCGCCCGUCACGUCAAGAGAGUUGGUAACACCCGA
RNAcentral lists this ribosomal RNA (1373 nucleotides) under metagenome. Its description in RNAcentral is "bacterial SSU rRNA". It matches the Rfam family "Bacterial small subunit ribosomal RNA". The record is from RNAcentral.